AGACCGCGAGGUAGAGCAAAUCUCAAAAAAACAAUCUCAGUUCAGACUGCAGGCUGCAACUCGCCUGCACGAAGUCGGAAUUGCUAGUAAUCGUAGGUCAGCAUACUACGGUGAAUACGUUCCCGGGCCUUGUACACACCGCCCGUCAAACCAUGAGAGUUGGCAACACCCGAAGUCGGUAGUCUAACCGCAAGGAGGACGCCGCCGAAGGUGGGGUUGAUGAUUAGGGUUAAGUCGUAACAAGGUAGC
RNAcentral lists this ribosomal RNA (249 nucleotides) under uncultured bacterium. RNAcentral describes it as "partial 16S ribosomal RNA". It matches the Rfam family "Bacterial small subunit ribosomal RNA", at positions 1252 to 1500 of the family's 1533-position model. The record is from RNAcentral.